GACGUAGGGGGCGAGCGUUGUCCGGAUUUAUUGGGCGUAAAGAGCUCGUAGGCGGCUCAGAAAGUCGGGUGUGAAACCUCCAGGCUCAACCUGGAGACGCCACCUGAUACUGCUGUGACUUGAGUCCGGUAGGGGAGUGGGGAAUUCCUGGUGUAGCGGUGGAAUGCGCAGAUAUCAGGAGGAACACCGAUGGCGAAGGCAGGUCUCUGGGCCGAUACUGACGCUGAGGAGCGAAAGCGUGGGGAGCGAACAGG
RNAcentral lists this ribosomal RNA (254 nucleotides) under uncultured bacterium. RNAcentral describes it as "partial 16S ribosomal RNA". It matches the Rfam family "Bacterial small subunit ribosomal RNA", at positions 524 to 776 of the family's 1533-position model. The record is from RNAcentral.